AAUAUAUGUAUUGACCGAGAAAAUAAUAAAAUUUAAGGGAAAUACUUUAGUCCACAUAUAUAUGUCUAUAUAUAUGCAUCUAAAUUGGUGGGGGAAAUGUAGUUGUCAGAACCCAUGCAUAACAACAGGAGUCAUGUACUAUCAUGGGUCUUGAUUAACAUUCAAAAUGCAUGGAAAUUAAAUAGGCACAACAGUUAGGCUACAAAUUUCCUUGAAAGGAAAACUAGUGUGGCAGAGAACAUUUAUAUCAGUGGUAAUGUGAAGCCAUAACACAGCAAAUUCCAGGGGUACACUGAACAAAUAAAAACUUCACCCCAUAUGGCGCUCCUCCGUAAGGUGACGCGGAGCUCGCUCACCAUGGGGUUUGACCGACGCGAAGCGCCUCCGGCGGAAGAAUGUGAUGGCGCUGCUCCGCCUCAGGAUCGAAGCUUCAGAGCGCCGGCACCACCAGGGAUAUACCAAAUAUUGUAUGCAUCUUCAGAGCGCCGGCAAGCCCCUCAUCCGUUUGCAGACCCGUCUUCAUUCCAAUUGCAAUCAAGCUAAUAAAUAAGCAUGCGUCUCUUCUUUCGGUAUAGCCGUUUAAAUUGUCUGCAGUGCACGUCCAAGCCCACAAUCCUGAAAUUCAGUUUAGAUACUUCAUCAUGGAUGGCUCACGUCUAACCGAGGAACGCCAUGCAUGUAGUCCAGCCCUCCGUUUAUUUAAUCCCUCUGCCAAUGGAUUCAUCUUAUGUACCCUGUUUGCGUGGCCAGUUUGUUGAUUUUUCAGGCAAGUUACAAGUGUUUAUAAAUUGGUGAAAAUUAGUAUAAGACAACAAGGUGGGACUAUUCAACAAAAGAUAUGCAUGCAUCAUAUUUUAUAACAUAAAAUCUGAGACGUGGCUUCUAGCCCAUAAAAGGCCCAGUAGUGCAUCGUGCCAGGAGAAGGUGCUCAUACCACAUUACGUCUGAGAGGCCAGCUUGCGUACGUAAUUGAGCACGUACGAAAAUAGCUUUGCGACGGUCGGACGAAAAAUCAUAACAACGGACUAAUAGUACCACCUCAUUUAUAUUACGAUUUUGUCUAUACUAAUCGUAAAAGCGUAUUAUAACUGGGCGGAAGCGUAUUGUGACGGUGAACCCACGGAGUCAAUCCGUGCUUUAUUAUUAAAAAAAAUUAGGGAGAGACUAGUAAAAAUGCCCGUGCGUUGCACCGGGCGACAAAAGGGGGCACAACCUGUUUCAUGUGCCAUUUUGCACCAUUUUUUAUAUCCAAUUUCAAUAAAUGUCGACAGUAAUGUUGAACAUGGAAAUUUCCUUAUUUUUAAUAAAAGUUAAUGUUUUCAUUAAAAAUGUAAUACCUUUUGAAGAAUAGUUAGCAUUUUUAUGAAAAUUGGAACAUUUCUCUAUGAAUUAAUAUUUUUAUCAGGUGUUUCUUUGAAAAUAAUGUUUUUCUGUUGUACAUUUAGAAAUGGUCCUUUAGUAAAAAAAAAGUGAUUUUCGGUGGAAUUAUUAAGUGUUGUUAAAAAGUAUAAACAUAUAUAUUUGAAAUGUUUUAAACUUUUUUAUGUGUUAAAUUUUUAUGCUGUUUAUACUUAAGGACAUGCCAGCUUGAGAAGGAACUUCCUUGAACAGAAGAUUAUGGCGUCACGGCAACAAAGAAAAUCAAGGAAAGGCAUUAGCCGUACCUGACGACUGGGGCAGGCCAUUGAUGAUGUUAACACUACCAUAUGGGCCAAAUGGCAUCAGACACAUUACUGAAGCUGUCGAUAUAAAAAUUGGUUUUGGAAUAGCUUAAGAAAAGGCAUGUUUACAAAUGACAUUUAGACAAUGGGUUUCUUAACUUAUAUAAGCUCACCUGAUGAGAAUAGUUUGCUCCGACCGAUCUCCAUGAGGUAUCCAUAGAUUGUAUGUAAAAAAUCACAAAUUUAACAAUCCCAAAAGAAAUUAGAUAAAAUUCAAUAAAUUGCAGCAAUCUGCCAUCAGUAUUACCAAUCAAAUCAAUGUUAUAUAUCUAUUAAGAAGAAGAGAUGCACGGACGACCAAUUUGUGACUCCGAGAGACAAGAGAGCAGAUUGGCAAAAGAAAAGGAAAGCAAGAUGUGGUUCAACCUGCGAUAAGUCCAACACCACCAACGGCCUCUGCAUCCUCACAAGCUUUGCUCCAUGGCACUUCAAGAUAUGAGCCGACACUUGCCGAUGCAACUCUCCGCGACCUAACCUGCGAUAAGUCCAACACCACCAACAGCCUCUGCAUCCUCACAAGCUUUGCUCCAUGGCACUUCAAGAUAUGAGCCGACACUUGCCGAUGCAACUCUCCGCGACCUGCACACCAUCCUGUUCAAUGGGCGCUCCUCCUGGUUUAGAUUGAGGGACCGACUCUGAUUCAAUUCCUUCUCAUGUGUGCAAGUGGGAGGAAGGAGGUGAAGGGGGCAAGGGGGUGGCCGCGCAACUUCAUGGCAGCUGCUU
RNAcentral lists this long non-coding RNA (2444 nucleotides) under Triticum aestivum (bread wheat). RNAcentral's name for it is "long non-coding RNA (TAES_LNC020590)". Lineage: Eukaryota; Viridiplantae; Streptophyta; Magnoliopsida; Poales; Poaceae. The record is from RNAcentral.